Non-coding RNA from Oryctolagus cuniculus (rabbit), 639 nucleotides. Lineage: Eukaryota; Metazoa; Chordata; Mammalia; Lagomorpha; Leporidae. The record is from RefSeq and is a predicted model, not a curated record.
GCUGCAGCGCUGGCCCCUGUUUCACUUGUUUUUUAAUGACUAUUGUCAUUACACAGAAUCUCAGAAAGACUAAUAAAAGAAACAUUUGAAAGCAUUUAAUGGACAAGACGAAUGAAUUGGAAUUACUCCCUCUGCUAUUCCCUUAUUAUUACAUGCAUAAGGUUUAUAUAUGGAGCAGCUAGAACUCAGUUGUGACAGCCUAUUUUUGCCGAAAACAAUGGGAAGAAUUUGAGGAAGUGGGAAGAAAGAUCUUUGAUGAAAGUAGGGAAUGUAAAUUCAACUGGUAUAGGCUCAGUCAUUUCUUGCAUCCAUUUAAAUAUAAUAUUUGUCUAUACUGCAUAUUUUGUCCCUUUUCAAAUGAUCAUUUCACUCUAUUUUCUUUCUUGUUUUACAGAAAUAAAAGUCAAGAGGUGAUAAUUCUAAUUAUUCUUAUAAACUUAACUCAACUUUUAGUGGUCCUGGAGGCAGGAAAGUUGGUGCAGUAGGAGAAUUUAAACAUGGUGACACUCAGAAAGGGAAUUUACACCGGAUGACAUGACACAACAAAAUACUCCCAACUGUUUGGGAUUAAGCAGAAUGAAAAGAAAAUUAUAGGAGGCAGCUGACAGCUAGAGGUGCCCAAAGGUAGACAGAAGUAAG